AUUUAUAAAUACUAUAUAUAAUUUCUAAAUCAAUCAAAAUAUAUUAACUAAUAACACCUUCUAAAUAAUGCGAACAAAUUUUUAAAAACUAAUGAUGGAUCAAAACUAAAACUAAUAAAGCAAUAUUCAAAGUGAUUAUCUUAUACAAUAAAGUUGCCUUGAGUCUCUCCUCCUGCGUCCACGUCAUCAGAGAGGUAGGGGCAAAUGUUGACACAUCAGCAUCUCUUUCUGAACAAAACACGGUGCUUUCGUUUCUAUGAAAUCUCUUGAUGGGCCCACUUAAUUGUACUGAAAGCAAUGUUUUUGAAGAAGAGUUUGGGCUUAAUGAUGAUAUACUGUCUCGUGGUCCAACUCAACCCUAGCACUCAUCCAUCCUCUUCUUCUUCUCGUGUCCCUUGCUUCCCCCUC
Molecule: long non-coding RNA, 408 nt
Filed under: Brassica napus (rape)
Lineage: Eukaryota; Viridiplantae; Streptophyta; Magnoliopsida; Brassicales; Brassicaceae
Description: long non-coding RNA (BNAP_LNC020659)
Source: RNAcentral